UCCUCCAAGGCUAAAUACUCCUGAUUGACCGAUAGUGAACCAGUACUGUGAAGGAAAGGCGAAAAGAACCCCGGUGAGGGGAGUGAAAUAGAACCUGAAACCCUGUACGUACAAGCAGUGGGAGCCCGCAAGGGUGACUGCGUACCUUUUGUAUAAUGGGUCAGCGACUUAUAUUUUGUAGCGAGGUUAACUGAAUAAGGGAGCCGAAGGGAAACCGAGUCUUAACUGGGCGAAGAGUUGCAAGGUAUAGACCCGAAA
This 258-nucleotide ribosomal RNA is filed under the name Avibacterium paragallinarum. Its description in RNAcentral is "partial 23S ribosomal RNA". It matches the Rfam family "Bacterial large subunit ribosomal RNA", at positions 456 to 720 of the family's 2925-position model. The record is from RNAcentral. Lineage: Bacteria; Pseudomonadati; Pseudomonadota; Gammaproteobacteria; Pasteurellales; Pasteurellaceae.